CGGACUGUGGUCUGCAACUCGACCACACGAAGCUGGAAUCGCUAGUAAUCGCGAAUCAGCAUGUCGCGGUGAAUACGUUCCCGGGUCUUGUACACACCGCCCGUCACACCAUGGGAGUCAGCAACGCCCGAAGUCAGUGACCUAACCGAAAGGAAGGAGCUGCCGAAGGCGGGGCAGGUAACUGGGGUGAAGUCGUAACAAGGUAAC
Molecule: ribosomal RNA, 207 nt
Filed under: uncultured bacterium
Lineage: Bacteria
Description: partial 16S ribosomal RNA
Rfam family: Bacterial small subunit ribosomal RNA
Source: RNAcentral